UGCAGUCGAGCGGUAGAGAGGUGCUUGCACCUCUUGAGAGCGGCGGACGGGUGAGUAAAGCCUAGGAAUCUGCCUGGUAGUGGGGGAUAACGCUCGGAAACGGACGCUAAUACCGCAUACGUCCUACGGGAGAAAGCAGGGGACCUUCGGGCCUUGCGCUAUCAGAUGAGCCUAGGUCGGAUUAGCUAGUUGGUGAGGUAAUGGCUCACCAAGGCGACGAUCCGUAACUGGUCUGAGAGGAUGAUCAGUCACACUGGAACUGAGACACGGUCCAGACUCCUACGGGAGGCAGCAGUGGGGAAUAUUGGACAAUGGGCGAAAGCCUGAUCCAGCCAUGCCGCGUGUGUGAAGAAGGUCUUCGGAUUGUAAAGCACUUUAAGUUGGGAGGAAGGGCAUUAACCUAAUACGUUAGUGUUUUGACGUUACCGACAGAAUAAGCACCGGCUAACUCUGUGCCAGCAGCCGCGGUAAUACAGAGGGUGCAAGCGUUAAUCGGAAUUACUGGGCGUAAAGCGCGCGUAGGUGGUUCGUUAAGUUGGAUGUGAAAUCCCCGGGCUCAACCUGGGAACUGCAUUCAAAACUGUCGAGCUAGAGUAUGGUAGAGGGUGGUGGAAUUUCCUGUGUAGCGGUGAAAUGCGUAGAUAUAGGAAGGAACACCAGUGGCGAAGGCGACCACCUGGACUGAUACUGACACUGAGGUGCGAAAGCGUGGGGAGCAAACAGGAUUAGAUACCCUGGUAGUCCACGCCGUAAACGAUGUCAACUAGCCGUUGGGAGCCUUGAGCUCUUAGUGGCGCAGCUAACGCAUUAAGUUGACCGCCUGGGGAGUACGGCCGCAAGGUUAAAACUCA
RNAcentral lists this ribosomal RNA (851 nucleotides) under Pseudomonas brassicacearum. Its description in RNAcentral is "bacterial SSU rRNA". It matches the Rfam family "Bacterial small subunit ribosomal RNA", at positions 56 to 903 of the family's 1533-position model. Lineage: Bacteria; Pseudomonadati; Pseudomonadota; Gammaproteobacteria; Pseudomonadales; Pseudomonadaceae. The record is from RNAcentral.